This 372-nucleotide long non-coding RNA is filed under the name Brassica napus (rape). Its description in RNAcentral is "long non-coding RNA (BNAP_LNC005751)". Lineage: Eukaryota; Viridiplantae; Streptophyta; Magnoliopsida; Brassicales; Brassicaceae. The record is from RNAcentral.
GAUCAGAAUUAUGGAAACUUUUGGUAAUUGUCGUCAUCUCUUUCAUCCAUCUUUUCUUCCUUAUCGAAUUAUCCCCUUUCAUGGUGGUUUAAUCACUUGUUGCAAUCCUUAUUGAUUGGAGAAACAUGGAUCACAUCAAAAAACGGCCAAGGAAGAAACACACAUGUAGAAUUUAUAAUUAGAUGGGUGCAUAAUUCUAAAACAUGUCCACUUAAUUGAUGAGUUUCAAUUUAGUUUAAGGCUAUGGUCAUUAGAUUUAAUUUAGGUUGGUGCUACAUUUGGUGGUAUUACAUUAGAUUUACACGUUGGUCAUUUGUCUUUGGCGGUACAUUACAUUUUAUUUAGUUUUCUUUCCAGAAGUACAUGCAAACG